Taxawa tesnikishii (nom. ined.) is the source of this 112-nucleotide non-coding RNA. NCBI's taxonomy places the organism in Eukaryota, Fungi, Ascomycota, Dothideomycetes, Dothideales. The record is from the annotation of a GenBank genome assembly.
UCCGAAAUGGUCUAGUGGCUAGGAUUCGCCGCUCUCAUGUAGAAGCCACUACCCAACGGGUUGUUCUUCGACACGAGCCGGCGCGGCCGGGGUUCAAUUUCCCGUUUCGGAA